AACGAACGCUGGCGGCAGGCCUAACACAUGCAAGUCGAACGUGAAGCCACCUUCGGGUGGUGGAAAGUGGCAGACGGGUGAGUAACGCGUGGGAACGUGCCUUUCGGUUCGGAAUAACCCAGGGAAACUUGGGCUAAUACCGGAUACGCCCUCCGGGGGAAAGAUUCAUCGCCGAAAGAUCGGCCCGCGUCGGAUUAGCUUGUUGGUGGGGUAAAAGCCUACCAAGGCGACGAUCCGUAGCUGGUCUGAGAGGAUGAUCAGCCACACUGGGACUGAGACACGGCCCAGACUCCUACGGGAGGCAGCAGUGGGGAAUAUUGGACAAUGGGCGAAAGCCUGAUCCAGCCAUGCCGCGUGGGUGAAGAAGGCCCUAGGGUUGUAAAUCCCUUUCAGCGGGGAAGAUAAUGACGGUACCCGCAGAAGAAGCCCCGGCUAACUCCGUG
RNAcentral lists this ribosomal RNA (443 nucleotides) under uncultured bacterium. Its description in RNAcentral is "bacterial SSU rRNA". It matches the Rfam family "Bacterial small subunit ribosomal RNA", at positions 29 to 507 of the family's 1533-position model. The record is from RNAcentral.